This is a long non-coding RNA of Vanessa tameamea, 1610 nucleotides long. RefSeq lists it as uncharacterized. The transcript is spliced from 2 exons. NCBI's taxonomy places the organism in Eukaryota, Metazoa, Arthropoda, Insecta, Lepidoptera, Nymphalidae. The record is from RefSeq and is a predicted model, not a curated record.
CUGUCUCCUAGUCUGUCUAAGGUCAAUAAAAGUAGGUAUUAAAUAAAACUAAUAAAAGUGUACGAGAAUCAAACACCUACUAAUUAAUACGUACAUAAUUACUUAUAUAUUAUUUGUCAAUUAUCUCUUACAAUACGGUUUUAAAAAGUACCGACUGGUCAUUUGGAAGUUACUACAAGAUCCUGAACAAGUCACUAUCAUGUUUUGGAAACAUAGCAUCUGAAAAUGUCUGAACAUAAUCAAAAGCUAGCCCUUAAAAGACAUGUCAUUUCGUUGGAGCAAAAAAUACAAAUUUUAGAUCGCCUUAAAAAUGAGAAAUCAUCAGAUGUUGCAAAGUCAUUAGGUUUUAAUGAGGCAACAGUUCGGACCAUACAAAGAAAUGAACAAAAAAUACGAGCUUCAGUUACUUCUGGUUCAUUGCUGUCUGCAAAUAAGAGAGCUCGUUCCAGAGCACCAAUCAUUGAAAAAAUGGAAAAAUCCCUUAAUAUUUGGAUUCAAGACUGUUCAAAAAAACGAACUCGAAUAGAUUCUACCAUCAUUAAACAAAGAGCACUAAGAAUAUACAAUUUCUUAAAGGAGAAUGAAGAACCUGAUACUGAUGCCAAUUUCGUUGCUAGCCGAGGUUGGUUUGAGCGUUUCCGAAAGCGAUUCUCUUUACACAACAUUACAAUAGAAGGAAAGAAUGGUUAUGCCGUUCAUGUAACCCCCAAAACUUACCCAAAGGAAUUGGAAAAAAUUAUGAACAGGGUGGAUUUACACAUCAAGAUAGUUAAUAAAAAUGGUUUUAAAACUAAAGUAAGAUAAGAUAUUAAAAUAGAAGUCUAACUAUUGGAGCCUGUAGCCCAAAAGUGAUAUUAUAAUUAAACCAGCUCUCUUUAAUUAGAGGAAAGUGUUAAUAUUGAAGGUAUCAAUAUGUAACUCGGGAUAAAAUGGAAGAAGAUAUUUUACCAGCUGAUUCAGAAACUGAUAGUACUAAGAAUGUGAGACAAAUAGUGGUAUCAACCCUAGUUUCUGAAGAUUUUGUAUUUUGUUUCGCUGUACUUUCGGAAAGAUGAUACUUUGACUAAAACACAAUUUUAAUUUUAUGAAAAACUUGAGAUGAUUGAUGAUAUGCUUACCAUCCUUAGUUGCUUUGCUAUUAUUAAGCAUUACAAAUAGGCAAAACAAAUAGGCAAAACAAAUUUAUUCAAACUAAAGUAUGCUAAAAGUAGAAAAUGAAAACAUAAAAAUGAAGUAUUGUAAUGAAAGUCAAACUUAUUCAAUCAAAUAGUAGUAUUUUAAAUUAAAUUGAUUGCAUGUUUUAAACUUAAAUGAAAUUGUUUAUCAUGCUGGUCUAUCCAUAAUGUUUUUAAAUAUAAUCAUCAAAUAAUGAUUUAAUUCACACAUUUUUUAUUUAAGGAAACAAUUAUUUUUUUUGUAAUUAUUAUCCUACAGUUGUAUGAUGAUUUAUUCAUUGUAAAUAAAACUAUUUGCUUUGAAAUUUCAAUUUUUUAUUGUAUUAGGUACUUAUCACAUUUUUUAAACUAAAUACUUCAAGAAAUUUAACAAGCAAGUUAAUGAUCUUCGUAGCCACUGGGCAAGGCAUUGACAUGGGGAUUGUGGAAGAGAGA